GACGAACGCUGGCGGCGUGCUUAACACAUGCAAGUCGAGCGGAAACGAUGUAGCUUGCUACAGGCGUCGAGCGGCGGACGGGUGAGUAAUGCCUAGGAAAUUGCCUUGAUGUGGGGGAUAACCAUUGGAAACGAUGGCUAAUACCGCAUAAUGCCUACGGGCCAAAGAGGGGGAUCUUCGGACCUCUCGCGUCAAGAUAUGCCUAGGUGGGAUUAGCUAGUUGGUGAGGUAAUGGCUCACCAAGGCGACGAUCCCUAGCUGGUCUGAGAGGAUGAUCAGCCACACUGGAACUGAGACACGGUCCAGACUCCUACGGGAGGCUG
RNAcentral lists this ribosomal RNA (323 nucleotides) under uncultured Pseudomonadota bacterium. RNAcentral's name for it is "bacterial SSU rRNA". It matches the Rfam family "Bacterial small subunit ribosomal RNA", at positions 28 to 351 of the family's 1533-position model. The record is from RNAcentral. Lineage: Bacteria; Pseudomonadati; Pseudomonadota.